Molecule: ribosomal RNA, 490 nt
Filed under: uncultured bacterium
Lineage: Bacteria
Description: partial 16S ribosomal RNA
Rfam family: Bacterial small subunit ribosomal RNA
Source: RNAcentral
AAUGAACGCUGGCGGCAUGCCAUACACAUGCAAGUCGAACGGCAGCAUGACCUAGCUUGCUAGGUUGAUGGCGAGUGGCGAACGGGUGAGUAAUGCAUCGGAACGUGCCUUUUAGUGGGGGAUAACGUAGCGAAAGUUACGCUAAUACCGCAUAUUCUCUGAGGAGGAAAGCAGGGGACCUUCGGGCCUUGCGCUAGAAGAGCGGCCGAUGUCGGAUUAGCUAGUUGGUGAGGUAAAGGCUCACCAAGGCAACGAUCCGUAGCGGGUCUGAGAGGAUGAUCCGCCACACUGGGACUGAGACACGGCCCAGACUCCUACGGGAGGCAGCAGUGGGGAAUUUUGGACAAUGGGCGCAAGCCUGAUCCAGCCAUGCCGCGUGAGUGAAGAAGGCCUUCGGGUUGUAAAGCUCUUUCGGCUGGGAAGAAAUCGCACCCUCUAAUACAGGGUGUGGAUGACGGUACCAGCAUAAGAAGCACCGGCUAACUACGUG